Molecule: ribosomal RNA, 510 nt
Filed under: uncultured Acidobacteriota bacterium
Lineage: Bacteria; Pseudomonadati; Acidobacteriota
Description: bacterial SSU rRNA
Rfam family: Bacterial small subunit ribosomal RNA
Source: RNAcentral
UGGGGAAUUUUGCGCAAUGGGCGAAAGCCUGACGCAGCAACGCCGCGUGGAGGAUGAAGGCCUUCGGGUCGUAAACUCCUGUCAGUGGGGACGAAAGCCUCGCAAGAGGUUUGACUGUACCCGCUGAGGAAGCCACGGCUAACUCCGUGCCAGCAGCCGCGGUAAUACGGAGGUGGCAAGCGUUGUUCGGAAUUACUGGGCGUAAAGGGCGCGUAGGCGGCUUGGCAAGUCAGAUGUGAAAGCCCCGGGCUUAACUCGGGAAUUGCAUCUGAAACUGCUUUGCUUGAGUCCUGGAGGGGAUAGUGGAAUUCCCAGUGUAGCGGUGAAAUGCGUAGAUAUUGGGAGGAACACCUGCGGCGAAGGCGGCUAUCUGGACAGUGACUGACGCUGAGGCGCGAAAGCUAGGGGAGCGAACGGGAUUAGAUACCCCGGUAGUCCUAGCUGUAAACGAUGGGCACUUGGUGUUGGGGGUAUUGAGUCCCUGGUGCCGGAGUUAACACGUUAAGUCCG